RNAcentral lists this microRNA precursor (91 nucleotides) under Olea europaea subsp. europaea. Lineage: Eukaryota; Viridiplantae; Streptophyta; Magnoliopsida; Lamiales; Oleaceae. The record is from RNAcentral.
CACCCUUAUCCAAUGAGGUGAGGUUAUCUCGGGAUUUUACUCUCUCUUUUCAUUUUAAGUCCCGAGAUGACUUCACCUCAUUGGGUGAGGG